UGUGAGAUCGAGCUCCUUCAGACCCUACGGCUGCGUUCACAUGUGACUGGACAGGAUCAGCUGUCUGAGAACCGAACGCUGUCUUAGAAGAGCUCCUGAACCUGCUGAAUAAACUCAGUGUCCUCCGGCUGUAACCUGUGCAAAAUCAGGAGGAAAACUACUCCACAUCAGCAUCACCGAAGAUCCACUUACAGAAAUCCCUUUCUGUGUCAGUGUUGGAUGAUGGAGAGCAGUGUGAAUGUGACGUGUGCAGAGAUUCAAAUCACAGACGGGUUUGAGUUCAGAGUCACUGCUGACAGAUUCACUCACUUGCAUCAGUCUGACUGUGAAUCGCUCUGGUACUCACAGGUGAGAGUGUGUUUCUGUCCUCACACCACGCCAUUAUACAUUAUACACACACACAAACAGUGUUUCUGUCCUCAAACCACGCCAUUAUUCACAAUCAAACUCAUAAUAAUGCUUUAUUUGAUCAGGAUGAUAUUCUGAUAGCAGACCCAUCAGAUCCUCAGAAACUGAUUGAUCCUGUUAUUUCUGUCUCAUCUGAUCGUCUCGUCACGUCACACUGUGUGAAUGAACUCCGUCACGAGAUCCUCUGCGAUGCUUCAGGAUUCAGACUGGACACCAUAUUCAGAGCGAGGAAUGAAACUGCAGUGACUCCAAACUCAGUGACUCCAGAUCUCCAACAUUCAGAUCAGUGGUGGUGGAUUUAUGUUCUUCUCAUUGUCAUUGUUCUUCUGGUGUUGAUCUGUUUCUUGCGUAAAAGGAUCUUCAGAUGUUUUCAGAGAAAAGAGCGGUUCAUCAGUCAGCGUGAAGCUCCAGACAACAGGGAUCUGGUGACGCUCAGAUCUGAUCAUCCAGGAAUUGGUUCAGCGAAUCAGUGCAGUGUUCAGUGUUCAGAUGCUGAUAAAGCAUCUGAUGUUUUGAAUGAUUAUUCACCAUUCUGGUUCUUUUCAAAAAAGAAUAAGAACCGGUUUUCGGUUCCCACGCCAAGUCAUGAAGAUCAGAUUUAUUAAUGAGAAUAUUAUUUAUCUUCAGAACUGUUUCAUAAUAAUAAUAAUAAAAGCUAUUUUGUUUCAUUUUGUUGUUUUAUUUCUUUUCUCCACUGCAAACUGAGACUUAAAAACUGCAUUAUGUCAUUUUUGUGUAUCUUUACAUGCCAUUUC
Cyprinus carpio carpio is the source of this 1163-nucleotide long non-coding RNA. The record is from Ensembl. Lineage: Eukaryota; Metazoa; Chordata; Actinopteri; Cypriniformes; Cyprinidae.